This 484-nucleotide ribosomal RNA is filed under the name uncultured bacterium. Its description in RNAcentral is "partial 16S ribosomal RNA". It matches the Rfam family "Bacterial small subunit ribosomal RNA", at positions 30 to 507 of the family's 1533-position model. The record is from RNAcentral.
AUUGAACGCUGGCGGCAGGCCUAACACAUGCAAGUCGAGCGGAUGAAGGGAGCUUGCUCCUGGAUUCAGCGGCGGACGGGUGAGUAAUGCCUAGGAAUCUGCCCGGUAGUGGGGGAUAACGUCCGGAAACGGGCGCUAAUACCGCAUACGUCCUGAGGGAGAAAGUGGGGGAUCUUCGGACCUCACGCUAUCAGAUGAGCCUAGGUCGGAUUAGCUAGUUGGUGGGGUAAAGGCCUACCAAGGCGACGAUCCGUAACUGGUCUGAGAGGAUGAUCAGUCACACUGGAACUGAGACACGGUCCAGACUCCUACGGGAGGCAGCAGUGGGGAAUAUUGGACAAUGGGCGAAAGCCUGAUCCAGCCAUGCCGCGUGUGUGAAGAAGGUCUUCGGAUUGUAAAGCACUUUAAGUCGGGAGGAAGGGCAGUAAGUUAAUACCUUGCUGUUUUGACGUUACCAACAGAAUAAGCACCGGCUAACUUCGUG